GACGAACGCUGGCGGCGUGCCUAAUACAUGCAGGUAGAACGCUGAGGACUGGUGCUUGCACUGGUCUAAGGAGUUGCGAACGGGUGAGUAACGCGUAGGUAACCUACCUCAUAGCGGGGGAUAACUAUUGGAAACGAUAGCUAAUACCGCAUGACAAUAGGGGUACACAUGUACCCUAUUUUAAAAAGGGGCAAAUGGCUUCACUAUGAGAUGGACCGUGCGUUGUAUUAGCUAGUUGGUAAGGUAACGGCUUACCAAGGCGACGAUACAUAGCCGACCUGAGAGGGUGAUCGGCCACACUGGGACUGAGACACGGCCCAG
Molecule: ribosomal RNA, 321 nt
Filed under: uncultured bacterium
Lineage: Bacteria
Description: bacterial SSU rRNA
Rfam family: Bacterial small subunit ribosomal RNA
Source: RNAcentral